CCUACGGGUGGCAGCAGUGGGGAAUAUUGCGCAAUGGGCGAAAGCCUGACGCAGCGACGCCGCGUGAGUGAUGAAGGCCUUCGGAUCGUAAAGCUCUGUCAGCAGGGAAGAACGCACUUUGUGUUAUUCAGUAGUGAAUUGACGGUACCUGCAAAGGAAGCACCGGCUAACUCCGUGCCAGCAGCCGCGGUAAUACGGAGGGUGCGAGCGUUAAUCGGAAUUACUGGGCGUAAAGGGCACGUAGGCGGUAUGUCAAGUCAGGGGUGAAAUCCCCGGGCUCAACGUGGGAACUGCCUUUGAAACUGGCAAACUGGAGUGUGUGAGAGGAGAGUAGAAUUCCAGGUGUAGCGGUGAAAUCCGUAGAUAUCUGGAGGAACAUCGAAGGCGAAGGCAGCUAUCUGGGA
RNAcentral lists this ribosomal RNA (404 nucleotides) under uncultured bacterium. RNAcentral describes it as "partial 16S ribosomal RNA". It matches the Rfam family "Bacterial small subunit ribosomal RNA", at positions 338 to 734 of the family's 1533-position model. The record is from RNAcentral.